Molecule: unclassified non-coding RNA, 2164 nt
Filed under: Ooceraea biroi (clonal raider ant)
Lineage: Eukaryota; Metazoa; Arthropoda; Insecta; Hymenoptera; Formicidae
Description: uncharacterized LOC105285741, transcript variant X2
Source: RNAcentral
AAAUGAAGCAAUGUUUUAAAGCGAUAUAUGUAUACACCACAGUUUUACAUUUAUUGACAAUAAAUGUCAACAAGAUUGUCUGAAAAAUAGACAGUUGUUAAAUAAAUUCAAUUGUUGUUUUUGAUGCAUUUUAUAAUUUCUUCAAAUCAAAUAUUUAAAUUAAAUAUUAAGUUAACUUCUCGCAAGUUUUCUAUGAAGCGGACAAGUGUAACGUUCGACUGCUGAGAAGAGACUGAUGUAUCGUUCGAUAUAUUGCAAAGCGGACUGUACAAUGCGCAUGUGCCUCAAAAAUAAGAGAGAAAAGAGCUGAAUAUUAUAACGCAAGAAGGAUAGAGACAUUUCGCAGCAAUUUAGAUAAAUUAUGUUUCUUUCUGUUCAUUUCAGAACUUGACUUUUCUUUUAAAAUAGCUUCAGCAUAUACAUUAUGGCAAAUAUCAUUAUGGCAUUAUGGCAUUAUGGCAUUAUGGCAUUAUUUGGUAAUAAAUUAUUCAUUUGACUAUUUUAUUAUUUGUCAAAUAUUUUAUCGUUUCUCAGAUACUUUAAAAGGAAAGAAAUAAUGGAACGUGCAAACAUUAAUAUUAUUUCGAUGUGCGAUUCUAUUUUCGGUUCAGUUGCUGUUCGUUUUUGGUAGAAUAUGCAUCUAAUCGAAGAACAUUACUAUACAAUUAAUAAAAGUUUUCUAAAGAUGUUAGGUAUCUGGCCUCAUAACAAAUCGCGAUUUAUAUUAUUGCAACGGAUAUUGAUUACUUUUGUAACUGUGACGUAUAUUAGCAUGCAGUGGUCAAUUUUUAUUACGGCAGAAUGUACUAUGCCUCUCUUUGUUAAAACUAUGAUACGCUCGUAUCCUUUUGCGAUAAUUGUAAUGAAGUACUUCAUUUUUAUGUUUAAAUCCGAAGCUAUAAAAAACAUGCACUAUCAAAUUCAACAAGAUUGGAAGUUAUUGCGAAACAAAUUAGAAAGCAAGAUUAUACAACAAUAUGCUCACGAGGGGCAACUGUGUACUUUAUUUAUAUUCUCAUUCAUCAGUUUUAUAUUGGUGCUUGUGACUGUUAUUCAAUUUCUUCCGAAUAUUCUUGAUGUUAUCUUACCUUUGGACGAGCCGCGGCCACGUAGACUCCUUGUUACCGCAGAAUAUUUCAUCGUUAAAACGAAUGAUAAAUACUACUAUACCCGAGUAUUUCAUGAACUCGUAUUCCUUACGAUGUGUGCAUCAAUGAUAUUUGCCACAGCGACACAACUGUUAACAUUUGCCUUCCAUUCUUUCGGGAUGUUCAAAAUUGCCAGUCACCGAAUAAAGUACUCCAUUGAAGAAAGUAUCUUGCACGUACAAAAGUUUGGAAAGGAGUACACAAUGUGCAAAACGAUCAUGCACGCCGUAACUGCACACCGUCGAGCCAUGGAGUUCUCCAAUAUUUUUAUAUCUUGUUUCAAUGCACCAUACUGCGUCAUGGCUAUUCUUGGAAUAAUCUCGUUAAGCAUCAGUUUAUACGGACUUAUUGAGGCAGCAACGAUAUCAAAGAGCAUGGAGAAUCUCGUAAUAUGUUUCAUAUCCGUAAUAGGUCAUCUGGUUUACAUAUUUGUAGCGAGUUAUGUUGGACAAAAGAUUAUUGAUUACAAUAACGAUCUUUUUAAAUUAGCAUAUAACACAUCAUGGUACUUGAUGCCUGUGUCAUCGCAAAAAUUAAUUUUGUUCCUAAUGCAAAAAACUAGCAGAGACUUUUACUUCAUGAUUGGUUUAAUAUUUGUAGCAAAGAUGGAAAGUUCUACUACGCUUAUGAAUGCUGCGUUGUCCUAUGUCGCCGUGAUGUAUAGCUGCGUACAAAAAUAAUAUUUUGUUUGCUUAUUAUCAGUAAAUAGUUUCUGUGACGUUUAGGAAAAAUAUUUAUAUUGUAGCGAAAUAUGUAGUAUCAUAUGAAGUACAUAGAUAAAGUACAUAUAUCAUGAGGAAGUAGUAUACUCACCCGUUGCUUAAACAAUACUGAGACUAGAAGAACAAUUGGUCAUAGAAAAUCAUUAUUGCGCAUGCGUUAUUUUCAAUAUUGACCAAAGUAUUUGGAAUAUAGUCAGUUAUUUUCACCGUGGGAAGCUGUAUUACUUGCACGUAUGGAUCAAUUUUCAUAAUUGCACCAAUUGUCUGCAUGCAUAUAUCAUUUUCUCUCGACGA